AGAAUCCCGUGAACCAUCGAGUCUUUGAACGCAAGUUGCGCCCGAGGCCCACCGGCCGAGGGCACGCCCGCCUGGGCGUCAAGCAUCGCGUUGCUCCUUGCCAAGGCCAUCCCACGGAUGGAUGCGUAUGGGCGGGGACGUGCAUAGUGGCCC
This 153-nucleotide ribosomal RNA is filed under the name Nervilia mekongensis. RNAcentral describes it as "5.8S ribosomal RNA". The stretch from base 1 to 81 matches the Rfam family "5.8S ribosomal RNA", at positions 76 to 154 of the family's 154-position model. Rfam says of the family: 5.8S ribosomal RNA (5.8S rRNA) is a component of the large subunit of the eukaryotic ribosome. Lineage: Eukaryota; Viridiplantae; Streptophyta; Magnoliopsida; Asparagales; Orchidaceae. The record is from RNAcentral.